AUUAAUAAUUAAUAUAUUUAAUAAAAAUAAUUUUAAUUUAAUAAGUAUUUUAAUGGGGGUUAAAGUAUUUUUUAAAGAAAAAAUUUUUAAAUUUAUAGUUAAUUAGUAUUGUGAAAGAAUUUUGAAAUAUUAUGAAAAAUAAAAUUUUUAGAAAGUAAUUUUUAUUUAUUGUAUCUUGUGUAUCAGAGUUUAUUAAAAAUUUUUAAUUUAUGAAUUAAUUUCUCGAAUUUAAAAGAGUUAAAUAAUUAUUAAAGUUAUUGUAGCAAAAUUAUUUUAAAUAAUUAUUUAGAAAUGAAAUGUUAAUCGUUUUUAAAUAUAUCUAGUUUUUAUAGAAAAAAAUUUAAUUUUAAAUUUAAAAAUUAUUUAAUUAAUUUAUUAAUUAAAUAGUUACUUAAAUUUUAUAAUUUAAGGGAUAAGCUUUAAAUUAAAUUUUUAUAAUAUUAAAUUUUUAUUUUGAAAAUUUUAUAAUUUAUAUUGUUAAUAAAUUUUAUUUUGUUAUAAAUAAUUUCAUUUUUUUUAAAAUUUAAAUUUUAUUUAAUUUUUUAUAUAAAAUUUAUUUAUAAUUAUAUAAAGUUAAUUAUAAUGAUAAAAUUAGUAUAUUAUUUAAUAUUAAAUUAAAAUUAAUUUUUGAUUAAUAAUUAAAUUAAUUAAAAGGAAUUCGGCAAAUAUUUAUUUUCACUUGUUUAUCAAAAACAUGUCUUUUUGUUAUUUAAUUUAAAGUCUAAUCUGCCCACUGAUUUAUAAAAAUUGAAGGGCUGCAGUAUAUUGACUGUACAAAGGUAGCAUAAUCAUUAGUCUCUUAAUUGGUGACUUGUAUGAAAGAUUGGAUGAAAAAUAUACUGUCUCUUAAUUAAUAUAUAGAAUUUAAUUUUUUAUUUAAAAAGUUAAAAUAACUUAAAAAGACGAGAAGACCCUAUAGAGUUUAAUAAAUUAUUUUAUGAAAGUUUUAUUUAUAUUUAUUAAUAAUUUUAUAAAUUUACUUAUUUAGUUGGGGUGAUAAAAAAAUAAAUUUAACUUUUUUUAAGUAAUUUACAUGGAUAAGUGAUUAAU
RNAcentral lists this ribosomal RNA (1050 nucleotides) under Biston falcata satura. Its description in RNAcentral is "partial 16S ribosomal RNA". Lineage: Eukaryota; Metazoa; Arthropoda; Insecta; Lepidoptera; Geometridae. The record is from RNAcentral.